AUUGAACGCUGGCGGCAGGCCUAACACAUGCAAGUCGAACGGUAGCACAGAGAGCUUGCUCUCGGGUGACGAGUGGCGGACGGGUGAGUAACGUCUGGGAAACUGCCCGAUGGAGGGGGAUAACUACUGGAAACGGUAGCUAAUACCGCAUAACGUCGCAAGACCAAAGUGGGGGACCUUCGGGCCUCACACCAUCGGAUGUGCCCAGAUGGGACUAGCUAGUAGGUGGGGUAAUGGCUCACCUAGGCGACGAUCCCUAGCUGGUCUGAGAGGAUGACCAGCCACACUGGAACUGGGACACGGUCCAGACUCCUACGGGAGGCAGCAGUGGGGAAUAUUGCACAAUGGGCGCAAGCCUGAUGCAGCCAUGCCGCGUGUAUGAAGAAGGCCUUCGGGUUGUAAAGUACUUUCAGCGGGGAGGAAGGCGGUGAAGUUAACAGCUUCACCGAUUGACGUUACCCGCAGAAGAAGCACCGGCUAACUCCGUGCCAGCAGCCGCAGUAA
Molecule: ribosomal RNA, 504 nt
Filed under: uncultured bacterium
Lineage: Bacteria
Description: partial 16S ribosomal RNA
Rfam family: Bacterial small subunit ribosomal RNA
Source: RNAcentral